RNAcentral lists this ribosomal RNA (492 nucleotides) under uncultured bacterium. RNAcentral's name for it is "partial 16S ribosomal RNA". It matches the Rfam family "Bacterial small subunit ribosomal RNA", at positions 29 to 507 of the family's 1533-position model. The record is from RNAcentral.
AGUGAACGCUGGCGGUAGGCCUAACACAUGCAAGUCGAACGGCAGCACAGUAAGAGCUUGCUCUUACGGGUGGCGAGUGGCGGACGGGUGAGGAAUACAUCGUAAUCUACUCUUUCGUGGGGGAUAACGUAGGUAAACUUACGCUAAUACCGCAUACGCCCUACGGGUGAAAGCAGGGGAUCUUCUGACCUUGCGCGAUUGAAUGAGCCGAUGUCGGAUUAGCUAGUUGGCGGGGUAAAGGCCCACCAAGUCGACGAUCCGUAGCUGGUCUGAGAGGAUGGUCAGCCACACUAGAACUGAGACAGCGUCCAGAGUACUACGGGAGGCAGCAGUGUGGUAUAGUAGGCAACAGGCGCAAGCCUGAUCCAGCCAUCCCGCGUGGGUGGAGGAGGCGUUCGGGUUGUAAAGCCCUUCUGUUGGGAGAGAAAAGCAGCAGGUUAAUACGAAGCUGUUGUGACGGUACCCAAAGAAUAAGCACCGGCUAACUACGUG